ACUUCAAACAUUGAUCCGAGCAAAAUGUGCAAACCAGUUUUGGUUCUUUGAUUAAAAAAUGGGUUAAGAGGUAAUUAUUUAGGCAAUGUUGUGGUUAUAAUGCAUAGAAAGUCAGUGCUAUUUUUUAUUAAGCUUGCAAUGUGGUCAAAUGUACAAUAAAAUCCAAAUGUAUUAAAGGACAAAGUUACUGAGCAAAAUGUUUGAUAACGACCUUGCAUGUUUAACUUUUGUGCAAGCUUUCAAAUACUU
This is a long non-coding RNA of Nanorana parkeri, 249 nucleotides long. RefSeq lists it as uncharacterized. The transcript is spliced from 3 exons. NCBI's taxonomy places the organism in Eukaryota, Metazoa, Chordata, Amphibia, Anura, Dicroglossidae. The record is from RefSeq and is a predicted model, not a curated record.